RNAcentral lists this ribosomal RNA (301 nucleotides) under uncultured bacterium. RNAcentral's name for it is "partial 16S ribosomal RNA". It matches the Rfam family "Bacterial small subunit ribosomal RNA", at positions 509 to 807 of the family's 1533-position model. The record is from RNAcentral.
CAGCAGCCGCGGUAAUACGAAGGGGGCUAGCGUUGCUCGGAAUCACUGGGCGUAAAGGGUGCGUAGGCGGGUUUUUAAGUCAGAGGUGAAAUCCUGGAGCUCAACUCCAGAACUGCCUUUGAUACUGGAAAUCUUGAGUAUGGGAGAGGUGAGUGGAACUGCGAGUGUAGAGGUGAAAUUCGUAGAUAUUCGCAAGAACACCAGUGGCGAAGGCGGCUCACUGGCCCAUAACUGACGCUGAGGCACGAAAGCGUGGGGAGCAAACAGGAUUAGAUACCCCCGUAGUCCCUGUCUCUUAUAC